RNAcentral lists this non-coding RNA (69 nucleotides) under Nitrospirota bacterium. RNAcentral describes it as "Nitrospirae bacterium Fluoride sequence". It matches the Rfam family "Fluoride riboswitch aptamer (crcB RNA motif)". Lineage: Bacteria; Pseudomonadati; Nitrospirota. The record is from RNAcentral.
UAAAAAUAAAGCGAUGGAGUUCGCUUAACCGUUCCGAUAGAUAUCGGGACUGAUAACUCCUACCAGGAU